GCCUGGCUAGCUUAGUUGGUAGAGCAUGAGAUUCUUGAUCUCAGGGUUAUGAGUUCAAGCCCCAUGUUGGGUA
This 73-nucleotide transfer RNA is filed under the name Felis catus (domestic cat). RNAcentral's name for it is "tRNA-Lys (CTT) (tRNA-Lys-CTT-22-1)". It matches the Rfam family "tRNA". Rfam says of the family: Transfer RNA (tRNA) molecules are approximately 80 nucleotides in length. Their secondary structure includes four short double-helical elements and three loops (D, anti-codon, and T loops). Further hydrogen bonds mediate the characteristic L-shaped molecular structure. tRNAs have two regions of fundamental functional importance: the anti-codon, which is responsible for specific mRNA codon recognition, and the 3' end, to which the tRNAs corresponding amino acid is attached (by aminoacyl-tRNA synthetases). tRNAs cope with the degeneracy of the genetic code in two manners: having more than one tRNA (with a specific anti-codon) for a particular amino acid; and 'wobble' base-pairing, i.e. permitting non-standard base-pairing at the 3rd anti-codon position. The record is from Rfam by way of RNAcentral. Lineage: Eukaryota; Metazoa; Chordata; Mammalia; Carnivora; Felidae.